GCGGGAGUUCCCAAGCCAGGUCAAAGGGGGAGGACUCAAGAUCCUCUGGCGUAGGCCUUCGUGGGUUCAAAUCCCACCUCCCGCA
RNAcentral lists this transfer RNA (85 nucleotides) under Nitrososphaeria archaeon. RNAcentral's name for it is "tRNA-Leu". It matches the Rfam family "tRNA". Rfam says of the family: Transfer RNA (tRNA) molecules are approximately 80 nucleotides in length. Their secondary structure includes four short double-helical elements and three loops (D, anti-codon, and T loops). RNAcentral also lists the same sequence under 2 other names. The record is from RNAcentral. Lineage: Archaea; Thermoproteati; Nitrososphaerota; Nitrososphaeria.